AUUAAGUGUCGUAAGGGCAUUUGGUGGAUGCCUUGGCAUGCACAGGCGAUGAAGGACGUGAUACGCUGCGAUAAGCCGUGGGGAGCUGCGAAUGAGCUUUGAUCCAUGGAUUUCCGAAUGGGGAAACCCACCUUAAAUGCUUGGGAAAUC
Molecule: ribosomal RNA, 150 nt
Filed under: Gillisella vitis
Lineage: Bacteria; Pseudomonadati; Pseudomonadota; Alphaproteobacteria; Hyphomicrobiales; Rhizobiaceae
Description: Agrobacterium vitis 23S rRNA 150-b fragment
Rfam family: Bacterial large subunit ribosomal RNA
Source: RNAcentral